This 76-nucleotide transfer RNA is filed under the name Syntrophobacteraceae bacterium. RNAcentral describes it as "tRNA-Pro". It matches the Rfam family "tRNA". From Rfam's summary of the family: Transfer RNA (tRNA) molecules are approximately 80 nucleotides in length. Their secondary structure includes four short double-helical elements and three loops (D, anti-codon, and T loops). Lineage: Bacteria; Pseudomonadati; Thermodesulfobacteriota; Syntrophobacteria; Syntrophobacterales; Syntrophobacteraceae. The record is from RNAcentral.
CGGGGUGUAGCUCACAUGGUAGAGCGCGUGCUUUGGGAGCAUGAGGCAGCAGGUUCGAUUCCUGUCACCCCGACCA